RNAcentral lists this ribosomal RNA (434 nucleotides) under uncultured bacterium. Its description in RNAcentral is "bacterial SSU rRNA". It matches the Rfam family "Bacterial small subunit ribosomal RNA", at positions 958 to 1394 of the family's 1533-position model. The record is from RNAcentral.
AACGCGAAGAACCUUACCUACUCUUGACAUCCUGCGAACUUGGUAGAGUCCUACAAGGCCUUCGGGAACGCAGAGACAGGUGCUGCAUGGCCCUUGUCAGCUCGUGUUGUGAAAUGUUGGGUUAAGUCCCGUAACGAGCGCAACCCUUGUCCUUAGUUGCCAUCAUUUAGUUGGGGACUCUAAGGAGACUGCCGGUGACAAACCGGAGGAAGGCGGGGACGACGUCAAGUCAUCAUGGCCCUUACGAGUAGGGCUACACACGUGCUACAAUGGCAAGUACAGAGGGCCGCGAAGCCGCGAGGUGGAGCUAAUCUCACAAAGCUUGUCGUAGUCCGGAUUGGAGUCUGCAACUCGACUCCAUGAAGUCGGAAUCGCUAGUAAUCGCAAAUCAGAAUGUUGCGGUGAAUACGUUCCCGGGUCUUGUACACACCGGG